Molecule: ribosomal RNA, 2270 nt
Filed under: Citrobacter freundii
Lineage: Bacteria; Pseudomonadati; Pseudomonadota; Gammaproteobacteria; Enterobacterales; Enterobacteriaceae
Description: partial 23S ribosomal RNA
Rfam family: Bacterial large subunit ribosomal RNA
Source: RNAcentral
GUGACUGCGUACCUUUUGUAUAAUGGGUCAGCGACUUAUAUUCUGUAGCAAGGUUAACCGUAUAGGGGAGCCGAAGGGAAACCGAGUCUUAACUGGGCGUUAAGUUGCAGGGUAUAGACCCGAAACCCGGUGAUCUAGCCAUGGGCAGGUUGAAGGUUGGGUAACACUAACUGGAGGACCGAACCGACUAAUGUUGAAAAAUUAGCGGAUGACUUGUGGCUGGGGGUGAAAGGCCAAUCAAACCGGGAGAUAGCUGGUUCUCCCCGAAAGCUAUUUAGGUAGCGCCUCGUGAACUCAUCUUCGGGGGUAGAGCACUGUUUCGGCUAGGGGGUCAUCCCGACUUACCAACCCGAUGCAAACUGCGAAUACCGAAGAAUGUUAUCACGGGAGACACACGGCGGGUGCUAACGUCCGUCGUGAAGAGGGAAACAACCCAGACCGCCAGCUAAGGUCCCAAAGUCAUGGUUAAGUGGGAAACGAUGUGGGAAGGCACAGACAGCCAGGAUGUUGGCUUAGAAGCAGCCAUCAUUUAAAGAAAGCGUAAUAGCUCACUGGUCGAGUCGGCCUGCGCGGAAGAUGUAACGGGGCUAAACCAUGCACCGAAGCUGCGGCAGCGACACUAUGUGUUGUUGGGUAGGGGAGCGUUCUGUAAGCCGUUGAAGGUGUAUCGUGAGGUAUGCUGGAGGUAUCAGAAGUGCGAAUGCUGACAUAAGUAACGAUAAUGCGGGUGAAAAACCCGCACGCCGGAAGACCAAGGGUUCCUGUCCAACGUUAAUCGGGGCAGGGUGAGUCGACCCCUAAGGCGAGGCCGAAAGGCGUAGUCGAUGGGAAACAGGUUAAUAUUCCUGUACUUGGUGUUACUGCGAAGGGGGGACGGAGAAGGCUAUGUUAGCCGGGCGACGGUUGUCCCGGUUUAAGCAUGUAGGCGGAGGUUCCAGGUAAAUCCGGUACCUUUUUAACGCUGAGGUGUGAUGACGAGGCACUACGGUGCUGAAGUAACAAAUGCCCUGCUUCCAGGAAAAGCCUCUAAGCAUCAGGUAACACGAAAUCGUACCCCAAACCGACACAGGUGGUCAGGUAGAGAAUACCAAGGCGCUUGAGAGAACUCGGGUGAAGGAACUAGGCAAAAUGGUGCCGUAACUUCGGGAGAAGGCACGCUGAUAUGUAGGUGAAGUGAUUUACUCAUGGAGCUGAAAUCAGUCGAAGAUACCAGCUGGCUGCAACUGUUUAUUAAAAACACAGCACUGUGCAAACACGAAAGUGGACGUAUACGGUGUGACGCCUGCCCGGUGCCGGAAGGUUAAUUGAUGGGGUUAUCCGUAAGGAGAAGCUCUUGAUCGAAGCCCCGGUAAACGGCGGCCGUAACUAUAACGGUCCUAAGGUAGCGAAAUUCCUUGUCGGGUAAGUUCCGACCUGCACGAAUGGCGUAAUGAUGGCCAGGCUGUCUCCACCCGAGACUCAGUGAAAUUGAACUCGCUGUGAAGAUGCAGUGUACCCGCGGCAAGACGGAAAGACCCCGUGAACCUUUACUAUAGCUUGACACUGAACACUGGUCCUUGAUGUGUAGGAUAGGUGGGAGGCUUUGAAGUGUGGACGCCAGUCUGCAUGGAGCCAUCCUUGAAAUACCACCCUUUAAUGGCUGGUGUUCUAACGUGGACCCGUAAUCCGGGUUGCGGACAGUGUCUGGUGGGUAGUUUGACUGGGGCGGUCUCCUCCUAAAGAGUAACGGAGGAGCACGAAGGUUAGCUAAUCCUGGUCGGACAUCAGGAGGUUAGUGCAAAGGCAUAAGCUAGCUUGACUGCGAGAGUGACGGCUCGAGCAGGUGCGAAAGCAGGUCUUAGUGAUCCGGUGGUUCUGAAUGGAAGGGCCAUCGCUCAACGGAUAAAAGGUACUCCGGGGAUAACAGGCUGAUACCGCCCAAGAGUUCAUAUCGACGGCGGUGUUUGGCACCUCGAUGUCGGCUCAUCACAUCCUGGGGCUGAAGUAGGUCCCAAGGGUAUGGCUGUUCGCCAUUUAAAGUGGUACGCGAGCUGGGUUUAGAACGUCGUGAGACAGUUCGGUCCCUAUCUGCCGUGGGCGCUGGAGAAUUGAGGGGGGCUGCUCCUAGUACGAGAGGACCGGAGUGGACGCAUCACUGGUGUUCGGGUUGUCAUGCCAAUGGCAUUGCCCGGUAGCUAAAUGCGGAAGAGAUAAGUGCUGAAAGCAUCUAAGCACGAAACUUGCCCCGAGAUGAGUUCUCCCUGAGACUUUAAGUCUCCUGAAGGAACGUU